This 253-nucleotide ribosomal RNA is filed under the name uncultured bacterium. Its description in RNAcentral is "partial 16S ribosomal RNA". It matches the Rfam family "Bacterial small subunit ribosomal RNA", at positions 524 to 776 of the family's 1533-position model. The record is from RNAcentral.
UACGAGUGGUGCAAGCGUUAUUCGGAAUCAUUGGGCGUAAAGGGCGCGUAGACGGCGUGUUAAGUUUGUUGUUAAAUCCCUCGGCUCAACCGAGGAUCAGCAGCGAAAACUGAUAUGCUAGAGGGUGGAAGAGAGAAGUGGAAUUCUCGUAGUAGCGGUAAAAUGCGUAGAUCUCGAGAGGAACACCAAUGGCGAAGGCAGCUUCUUGGUCCAUUCCUGACGUUGAGGCGCGAAAGCGUGGGGAGCAAACAGG